This 603-nucleotide long non-coding RNA is filed under the name Arabidopsis lyrata. RNAcentral's name for it is "long non-coding RNA (ALYR_LNC002816)". The record is from RNAcentral. Lineage: Eukaryota; Viridiplantae; Streptophyta; Magnoliopsida; Brassicales; Brassicaceae.
AUUUCUGUAACAAAAAAAUGAAGUUAAUAUAAAAGUAGCAAAUUAAAAGUUUGUGUCGUCACGAUGUGACAUGACUGAUAAAGAAGGAGAAGAGGCAGAAGAAGGAAAUCAUGGAAGUGAGUGAAGGUGAGAGAGACUGAUGCCUGACUCCUAACCAUUUCAAACUUUGGCACUGAAAUUCAUGGCGUUUAUCUUUUUUUCUUUUUACCUUUUUUUUUCAUUUUUUCGUGUAAAUGAAACGACACCCACUUCUUCUAUUCUAAUAACGACUUUUCUUCUCUUCAUAUUCAUGGAGUAUUUCUCGCAUUGAUUUCACUUUUGCAUAAUUGGGUGAGCAUUUUUUAGUUUGUUGUUCCUCCCAUUUUAUAGCACAUGCUCUUUUUGAUGUUAAAAGAGUGUAUUUCUACAGUUUCAUUGGUUCCAUCGUUUGUUUCAAGAUUUUUCCAUUUUGGGUAAAUGGUGGGGACUAUUAGUAGAAACGGAUUACGUAUAUCUAGCUAUAACAAUUUAGAUCAUAUUGUUCAACUCAAUAUUAUCUAAGUUAAAAAAAACCAUACUAUUAGUUUGGGGUUUGAGUUCUCAUAAAGAUAUUAAUGGCUUAAC